GUGCUCGCUUCAGCAGCACAUAUACUAAAAUUGGAACAAUACAGAAAAGAUUAGCAUGGCCCCUGCACAAGGAUGACACGCAAAUUCGUGAAGCGUUACAUAUUUUU
This 107-nucleotide small nuclear RNA is filed under the name Camelus bactrianus (Bactrian camel). Lineage: Eukaryota; Metazoa; Chordata; Mammalia; Artiodactyla; Camelidae. The record is from RNAcentral. RNAcentral also lists the same sequence under 1 other name.